AUGAUCGAUUGGUGACUGAGUGGCGGACGGGUGAGUAACGCGUGAGUAACCUGCCUUUCAGAGGGGGAUAACGUUCUGAAAAGAACGCUAAUACCGCAUAAGAUUGUAGCUUCGCAUGGAGCAGCAAUCAAAGGAGCAAUCCGCUGAAAGAUGGACUCGCGUCCGAUUAGAUAGUUGGCGGGGUAACGGCCCACCAAGUCGACGAUCGGUAGCCGGACUGAGAGGUUGAUCGGCCACAUUGGGACUGAGACACGGCCCAGACUCC
This 265-nucleotide ribosomal RNA is filed under the name uncultured Oscillospiraceae bacterium. RNAcentral's name for it is "partial 16S ribosomal RNA". It matches the Rfam family "Bacterial small subunit ribosomal RNA", at positions 76 to 339 of the family's 1533-position model. The record is from RNAcentral. Lineage: Bacteria; Bacillati; Bacillota; Clostridia; Eubacteriales; Oscillospiraceae.